RNAcentral lists this long non-coding RNA (312 nucleotides) under Lynx pardinus (Iberian lynx). The record is from RNAcentral. Lineage: Eukaryota; Metazoa; Chordata; Mammalia; Carnivora; Felidae.
UCAGCAGAGUGACUGUGUUCGGCAGCCCGGUACCACCUCACCAUUCUUCUGUCCCCAGGCCGAAGCAGUAUGGAGAGCGAACAGAGAGUUUCCCGCAAAGGCCGCAAGCUGGGCUCCAGCCGCCGGCGGCAGAUGAGAGAAGCAGCCGAUAGCCUGGAUGCUGCUGCGGCCCCAGAGCCAGAGUCCUGGUCCUCCCAGGCAGCUGCCGAAUUGCAAGCCUUCUUCCAGGACUGUGGUGCCAAGGAGAGGGGCUUUGUCACCCGCGAGGACCUGGCGGUGAGUCCAAGUCCCUAGCUCAUCCCCUGAAUCCCC